Molecule: unclassified non-coding RNA, 148 nt
Organism: Pongo abelii (Sumatran orangutan)
Lineage: Eukaryota; Metazoa; Chordata; Mammalia; Primates; Hominidae
Rfam family: Metazoan signal recognition particle RNA
About the family: The signal recognition particle (SRP) is a universally conserved ribonucleoprotein. It is involved in the co-translational targeting of proteins to membranes.
Source: Ensembl
GCCGGGUGUGGUGGUGCACACCUGUAGUCCCAGCUACUCGGGAGGCUGAGACAGGAGAAUCGCUUGAACCUGGGAGGUGGAGGUUGCAGUGAGCCGAGAUCAUGCCACUGCACUCUAGCCUGGGCAACAGAGUGAGACUCUGUCUCAA